RNAcentral lists this small RNA (558 nucleotides) under Pongo abelii (Sumatran orangutan). Its description in RNAcentral is "processed transcript". The record is from RNAcentral. Lineage: Eukaryota; Metazoa; Chordata; Mammalia; Primates; Hominidae.
CUUCCUGGUUGGGCCCUGCCCUGAGCUGCCACCGGGAAGCCAGCCUCAGGGACCGCAGCGACCCCCAAACACCCCUCCCCCAGGAUGUCGGAGGAGAUCAUCACGCCGGUGUACUGCACCGGAGUGUCAGCCCAAGUGCAGAAGCAGCGGGCCAGGGAGCUGGGCCUCGGCCGCCAUGAGAAUGCCAUCAAGUACCUGGGCCAGGAUUAUGAGCAGCUGCGGGUGCGAUGCCUGCAGAGUGGGACCCUCUUCCGUGAUGAGGCCUUCCCCCCGGUGCCCCAGAGCCUGGGUUACAAGGACCUGGGUCCCAAUUCCUCCAAGACCUAUGGCAUCAAGUGGAAGCGUCCCACGGGGACUGCUGGCUCUUGGCGGCCAUCGCCUCCCUCACUCUCAACGACACCCUCCUGCACCGAGUGGUUCCACACGGUCAGAGCUUCCAGAAUGGCUAUGCCGGCAUCUUCCAUUUCCAGCUGUGGCAAUUUGGGGAGUGGGUGGACGUGGUCGUGGAUGACCUGCUGCCCAUCAAGGACGGGAAGCUAGUGUUCGUGCACUCUGCCG